AACAGGUUAAAUGUGGUGCAGU
Molecule: microRNA, 22 nt
Filed under: Ornithorhynchus anatinus (platypus)
Lineage: Eukaryota; Metazoa; Chordata; Mammalia; Monotremata; Ornithorhynchidae
Description: oan-miR-1421t-5p
Source: miRBase by way of RNAcentral